Polyodon spathula (Mississippi paddlefish) is the source of this 429-nucleotide long non-coding RNA. RefSeq lists it as uncharacterized. NCBI's taxonomy places the organism in Eukaryota, Metazoa, Chordata, Actinopteri, Acipenseriformes, Polyodontidae. The record is from RefSeq and is a predicted model, not a curated record. The transcript has 3 exons.
CGAAGUAUCCACAGCGUUUGUUUUCCAAAUCCAAAUACUAAAAGGGGAACCAGGCGUUCUAAAGCUCUUCUAUUGCAGAAGAUUCUCUUCUAUUCUAUCUGGGUCCAGCGUCUGCCUUGCGAGGCUUACUGACUUCAAGUUCAAAUCGAAAACGGUGAUGAUCUGGGUCUGUUAAUCUUGCUGUUCCUGCUUCUCGUUGACGGUGUCCGUUUCCAUGAGGAGUAAUGUAGUCUUGCCUUGUUGAUUUAAAUAUUUGUAUGAUUUUUUUUUUUUAAAUUCCAUGUUGGAGUUUUUAUUUAUUUUUUUAUAAACACAACCUAAUUCCUACAGCAGUUAUUUUGUGCAGUAGUAACAGUGUCAUUGGUAGCUUUUGGAAAUGCUACAUUUACUUAAUGUGUUUCUUUCAAUAAAUGUGUCUUUUUUAUUGUA